This 249-nucleotide ribosomal RNA is filed under the name uncultured bacterium. Its description in RNAcentral is "partial small subunit ribosomal RNA". It matches the Rfam family "Bacterial small subunit ribosomal RNA", at positions 26 to 288 of the family's 1533-position model. The record is from RNAcentral.
AGGACGAACGCUGGCGGCGUGCUUAACACAUGCAAGUCGAACGAGGUGCUUCGGCACUUAGUGGCGAACGGGUGAGUAACACGUGAGCAACCUGCCCUUGGCUCUGGGAUAGCCUCCGGAAACGGGGAUUAAUACCGGACAUGACCUUCCCCGGCAUCGGGGUUGGUGGAAAGUUUUUCGGCCAGGGAGGGGCUCGCGGCCUAUCAGCUUGUGGGGGGUAACGGCCCACCAAGGCGACGACGGGUAGCC